UUAAAUUGAAGAGUUUGAUCAUGGCUCAGAUUGAACGCUGGCGGCAGGCCUAACACAUGCAAGUCGAACGGUAACAGGAAGCAGCUUGCUGCUUCGCUGACGAGUGGCGGACGGGUGAGUAAUGUCUGGGAAA
This 133-nucleotide ribosomal RNA is filed under the name Escherichia coli. RNAcentral describes it as "partial 16S ribosomal RNA". It matches the Rfam family "Bacterial small subunit ribosomal RNA", at positions 1 to 124 of the family's 1533-position model. Lineage: Bacteria; Pseudomonadati; Pseudomonadota; Gammaproteobacteria; Enterobacterales; Enterobacteriaceae. The record is from RNAcentral. RNAcentral also lists the same sequence under 10 other names.